RNAcentral lists this ribosomal RNA (253 nucleotides) under uncultured bacterium. RNAcentral's name for it is "partial 16S ribosomal RNA". It matches the Rfam family "Bacterial small subunit ribosomal RNA", at positions 524 to 776 of the family's 1533-position model. The record is from RNAcentral.
UACGGAGGGUGCAAGCGUUAUCCGGAUUCACUGGGUUUAAAGGGCGCGUAGGCGGUUCGUACAGUCAGACGUGAAAUUCCUGGGCUCAACCUGGGGGCUGCGUUUGAUACGUGCGGACUUGAGUGCGGAAGAGGGUCGUGGAAUUCCCAGUGUAGAGGUGAAAUUCGUAGAUAUUGGGAAGAACACCGGUGGCGAAGGCGGCGACCUGGUCCGAUACUGACGCUGAGGCGCGAAAGCGUGGGGAGCAAACAGG